Molecule: ribosomal RNA, 1388 nt
Filed under: Streptococcus thermophilus
Lineage: Bacteria; Bacillati; Bacillota; Bacilli; Lactobacillales; Streptococcaceae
Description: bacterial SSU rRNA
Rfam family: Bacterial small subunit ribosomal RNA
Source: RNAcentral
UAUACAUGCAGUAGAACGCUGAAGAGAGGAGCUUGCUCUUCUUGGAUGAGUUGCGAACGGGUGAGUAACGCGUAGGUAACCUGCCUUGUAGCGGGGGAUAACUAUUGGAAACGAUAGCUAAUACCGCAUAACAAUGGAUGACACAUGUCAUUUAUUUGAAAGGGGCAAUUGCUCCACUACAAGAUGGACCUGCGUUGUAUUAGCUAGUAGGUGAGGUAAUGGCUCACCUAGGCGACGAUACAUAGCCGACCUGAGAGGGUGAUCGGCCACACUGGGACUGAGACACGGCCCAGACUCCUACGGGAGGCAGCAGUAGGGAAUCUUCGGCAAUGGGGGCAACCCUGACCGAGCAACGCCGCGUGAGUGAAGAAGGUUUUCGGAUCGUAAAGCUCUGUUGUAAGUCAAGAACGGGUGUGAGAGUGGAAAGUUCACACUGUGACGGUAGCUUACCAGAAAGGGACGGCUAACUACGUGCCAGCAGCCGCGGUAAUACGUAGGUCCCGAGCGUUGUCCGGAUUUAUUGGGCGUAAAGCGAGCGCAGGCGGUUUGAUAAGUCUGAAGUUAAAGGCUGUGGCUCAACCAUAGUUCGCUUUGGAAACUGUCAAACUUGAGUGCAGAAGGGGAGAGUGGAAUUCCAUGUGUAGCGGUGAAAUGCGUAGAUAUAUGGAGGAACACCGGUGGCGAAAGCGGCUCUCUGGUCUGUAACUGACGCUGAGGCUCGAAAGCGUGGGGAGCGAACAGGAUUAGAUACCCUGGUAGUCCACGCCGUAAACGAUGAGUGCUAGGUGUUGGAUCCUUUCCGGGAUUCAGUGCCGCAGCUAACGCAUUAAGCACUCCGCCUGGGGAGUACGACCGCAAGGUUGAAACUCAAAGGAAUUGACGGGGGCCCGCACAAGCGGUGGAGCAUGUGGUUUAAUUCGAAGCAACGCGAAGAACCUUACCAGGUCUUGACAUCCCGAUGCUAUUUCUAGAGAUAGAAAGUUACUUCGGUACAUCGGUGACAGGUGGUGCAUGGUUGUCGUCAGCUCGUGUCGUGAGAUGUUGGGUUAAGUCCCGCAACGAGCGCAACCCCUAUUGUUAGUUGCCAUCAUUCAGUUGGGCACUCUAGCGAGACUGCCGGUAAUAAACCGGAGGAAGGUGGGGAUGACGUCAAAUCAUCAUGCCCCUUAUGACCUGGGCUACACACGUGCUACAAUGGUUGGUACAACGAGUUGCGAGUCGGUGACGGCGAGCUAAUCUCUUAAAGCCAAUCUCAGUUCGGAUUGUAGGCUGCAACUCGCCUACAUGAAGUCGGAAUCGCUAGUAAUCGCGGAUCAGCACGCCGCGGUGAAUACGUUCCCGGGCCUUGUACACACCGCCCGUCACACCACGAGAGUUUGUAACACCCG